This 1111-nucleotide long non-coding RNA is filed under the name Homo sapiens (human). RNAcentral's name for it is "HSALNT0305519". The record is from RNAcentral. Lineage: Eukaryota; Metazoa; Chordata; Mammalia; Primates; Hominidae.
CUCUGCUCCUGCUAUGCUCCAACCUCACUCUUCCCUGAUUUCUCCUCCUGGCAUUCCAGGCUCCUGGACCCCAGUAUCUUCUUCAGACUGAGGAUUUGACUUCUGCUUGGUCUCCUAGGGGAAUGGCUAUUUCUGGCCCAUAACAAAGAAAGGGUCGUCAGCAGGACACAGCCAUGAGCCUCGGCGUUUAUUCCUUCCUCUCUGGAGUGCCUUCCCCUACUACAGAGAUUUGAAAGCUUGAACUACAUUUCCCACAGCCCUUUGCAGUCAGGGUCCUGGUUACAAAAUCAGUUCUGUAAGAGAAGCACUUACAUGACGUUAGAAGACAGAAGGCAAACAGGAAAGACCAGUGUCCAGCCUCCUGCUCCAGUCGCAGCAGUGGCUGGAUUCAGCAUCCCCAUGGCCAGCCAUCAGCUUUCUGUGUCAAAAGGCAGCUGUCUCUACGACUGAGGAUUUAGGCCCACGGGCACUGGCAGCUCCCUAAUCCCAUCUUCCCGAUUCCCUGGGUCACAGCUAUGACAACGUGUUCCUGGAGUUAAUUUCCUGUUCCUUGGUAUUCUGGUAGUCAUUCCUGGAGACCCAGACUGGAAUUGAGCCAUCAGCCUCUUCAGAUGAUUUUGUAAAUCUUUAAGUGCCUGUAUUAAAUCCCUUCCUGCUUAAAGUACCUGGCAUGGUUUCUGUUCCCUACACUCAACCUGGACUAGCAAGGAGUCAGUAACAGCUGGAGCAGGUAAAUCCUAAAUCAGAGCUACUGUCUGGGCAUCUCUAAAAUAUAAAUUGCCCCAAGGUCUAAGCGACUUGUCCUGGAAGUAGACGUUUUCGACCUCGAUCACCACUGUCCUACAGAGCUGGACCAAGUGAUACCUGCCUUCAUUUUAUGUGAUGGUCUUUAUACACCAGCUGUUCAGAAUUCUUGAACCCCAGAAUAAAGGGUUUAAGGAGCCCAGCAGCCCUAGGAACUAACACAGGCACCGACUGCACCAAGCAGGAUUCUGGAAGCUGAGGUUACAGUGGAGAAGGAAACAGACCAUGGAAUCUGUGAAAGGAGGUAGAAAGUCCAGAUCUGGCCGGGCACAGUGGCUCAUGCCUGUAAUACCAGCACUUUGGGAGG